Molecule: long non-coding RNA, 375 nt
Organism: Bos taurus (domestic cattle)
Lineage: Eukaryota; Metazoa; Chordata; Mammalia; Artiodactyla; Bovidae
Source: Ensembl
GAGACAUAUCUCACCUGGAUUAUCUUCCCAGGCGUAUCUUUGGGAUAGAAUCUUAGCGCAGUGGGAUUGCUGCACAGAAUGCACCCAGGUCCUGGGAGUAGCUGCCAUCUGGAACAUCACUGAUUUUAGGGAAAAGAGAAAAAGAAGAUAAUGGUGAACUGAGGGCUGGCAGGGAAGUAUAAUCUCCCCAUAGGGAAGGGCACUGCAUGGGAGGCACAAAAUACUUUGUGAGAGAUACGAUAUACCACUUAGUGUAUGUCACUGGACUCAGUUUGCUAACAUUUUCUUUAGAAUUUUACUACAGUCAUGAGAGAUUGGCCUGUAGUUUUCGUGAAAGUCACUCAGUCAUGUCUGACUCUUUGCGAACCCAUGGAC